UGCGAGGUAGAGCAGUCUGGCAGCUCGCCGGGCCUCAUAAGCCAUAGGUCGGCGGUUCGAAUCCGUCCCUCGCUA
Molecule: transfer RNA, 75 nt
Filed under: Enterocloster bolteae
Lineage: Bacteria; Bacillati; Bacillota; Clostridia; Lachnospirales; Lachnospiraceae
Description: tRNA-Met
Rfam family: tRNA
About the family: Transfer RNA (tRNA) molecules are approximately 80 nucleotides in length. Their secondary structure includes four short double-helical elements and three loops (D, anti-codon, and T loops).
Source: RNAcentral